Unclassified non-coding RNA from Pongo abelii (Sumatran orangutan), 148 nucleotides. It matches the Rfam family "Metazoan signal recognition particle RNA". From Rfam's summary of the family: The signal recognition particle (SRP) is a universally conserved ribonucleoprotein. It is involved in the co-translational targeting of proteins to membranes. NCBI's taxonomy places the organism in Eukaryota, Metazoa, Chordata, Mammalia, Primates, Hominidae. The record is from Ensembl.
GCUGGGCAUGGUGGCGUGUGCCUGUAAUCCCAGCUACUCAGGAGGCUGAGGCAGUAGAAUCGCUUGAACCCAGGAGGCGGAGGUUGCAGUGAGCCAAGAUUGUGCCACUGUACUCCAGCCUGGGUGACAGAGCGAGACUCUGUCUCUC